This is a non-coding RNA of Mycena galopus ATCC 62051, 96 nucleotides long. The record is from the annotation of a GenBank genome assembly. Lineage: Eukaryota; Fungi; Basidiomycota; Agaricomycetes; Agaricales; Mycenaceae.
GACCCUGUGGAGCAAGGCAGCUCACUUCCUGGGUAUAAGAUCUUUAAAUUUAUACCAUACAAGGGGGAGACGGUGGUUCGAAUCCACCCGGGGACG